Molecule: long non-coding RNA, 1913 nt
Organism: Frieseomelitta varia
Lineage: Eukaryota; Metazoa; Arthropoda; Insecta; Hymenoptera; Apidae
Exons: 3
Source: RefSeq, a predicted model, not a curated record
CGCCUGUCGUUAAUGGAUUGAAGCCUUGAUUCCAACGAUUCGCCAGAGUUAUCAUCUUAUUCAUCUUUGGAAUUCGCUGCAUAAUUCAUGGGCUCGGCGAACACAUGAUCUCUCCUUGCCAGGAGACGAUUGGCCAGACGCUGACGAUUAACUUUUUUUUUUUUUUGCGUGCAAACUGCGAACACGCGUGAAGAAAUUGACGGGUCGAUUGAUCUCGCGAUCAGCGCCAAAGAUAUCAGACGUCAUGUUACAUAAAUCGAUAUGAACGAUAGAAAUCUUCGAUUCCUCAAAGAGGGCAGAUUAAUUAGCGAAAAGUUGAUCCCAUUGAUCGCCUGCCUAUGAAGUGCAGCAAUAAGAAUCUUGUGUACCUUUGGCCGAUAACGUCCAGCGGAGCGUCGUUGUUAGCGGAAUGAUCCGCUAAUUGUCAAUUUUCUAGAAUCUUUGCGGCCGUCGGCGCUACAACACUUCGUUGAACGUUCAAUUACUUCAUUAGCGCUUGAUCAACGAAUUAUUCGUGCUACUCGUGCACUUUUCGCCGUAGCUUUCAGCUGGUGAUCUAUGAACAAUUUACGAGCCUGUUCCAACGCCUUUGCUUCGACGUGUAGCACGUUCCUCUAGUAGAAAAUGUUUAAAUCGAACGUAUUGCCAAAUCUGAAACGUGUGGCAAUACGUGCAGUUUGACGUAUAGUUUCAAUGAUUUUUGUUAGACGUAACUUUUAAAUUCAGGAUUUACUGUAUACUUUGUAAUUGCGAGAUCAUCGAACAAUUGUCAAUUUUUAUACGUGAAUGUAACGCACGAGUAAUGUAAGUUUGUGAAAUUCGCACACUGUCAUUGCAGAUCGCCUCAAAGUCCGGAUUAUUUGUAAAUAACAGUGUGCGCGUGAAUGAAACAUCAUGGAGCAAAACGGUGGAUAAUCGUGGAUGGAAUUUAUCAACGCAGCCGAAAAACUGGAGCUCGAUAUCUUUCCCUUUAAGCUGUAGGCGUGCAUUGAGAGACUCGGCUCGCCAUGGCAUCAGUCCAAAUCACAUGACACCAGGGUCUAUUUUCUAGAUAGACACUGAUACUGUUAUGCACUGAAAUUCCAUCAAGUUCGACAAGUUUAAUAAUAGAAACAGUGUAAAAUUCUAAAACCAUGUAACGGAGAUUCACAUUGUAAAGAAGAAAUACACACGCUGAAUUGGCAAGUGUAUUUACAUUUAAACAAAGAAGAAGAGAAAGAAAGCAGAGCUGUUUCUUUAUAGUAUCCUGAUUUCAGACCUCGACAAAAGAGUGAAGAAAGGAAAUUCUCGCACCUCUUCUUUUUAACAGCAAAGUACUAUACGUAUCGAACAAAUCUCGUUAAUUUACCAAAGUAACCGAGAUUGGCCUAACGUGUCUCACGUAUAUGGAAGAAGAAUGUUGCAGCUUUCGGUGUCGACGAUCGAUUACACAAGCCAUUGGACACGGUUGAUCUCAUGAUAACCACCAGCCAGUCAGCUGUUUAUCUUGGAUUUGGUUUUUGGCGUGUAAUCGGUUAGAAUCGCAUCGUGCAUCGGUUCAUUGGAUUUUUUUAAUCGAUAACCGCGUGCAAACAGCACUCGCGGAUACGUUACGUUCACGGACGGGCUAUAAUUACACGGUCUCCUUCGUGUUUAAUGAAAUGCAGGCGAAUUCGCAGCAUUGUGCAAUAAUUCACGGACACCGAUGCUAACAGGAAGAGAAGCUUCGAACGACGUUUCUGCUCGACAUUCCACGGUAAAGUUUAUUUGGAGCAAAUGAAACUAGAGAGCAUGAAAGUGAAUUAACGUAACCGGAUAACAUUGUUUAACUAGCUUCUACGUAAAUUAUGCAGGUAGGCAAAUAUCAUUUAAUAACGUGAAAUGAACAAUUGUUUUACUGCGUUGUAUUUGCUAACAGUAUGACGAUCGAUAAU